Molecule: ribosomal RNA, 464 nt
Filed under: Vreelandella stevensii
Lineage: Bacteria; Pseudomonadati; Pseudomonadota; Gammaproteobacteria; Oceanospirillales; Halomonadaceae
Description: partial 16S ribosomal RNA
Rfam family: Bacterial small subunit ribosomal RNA
Source: RNAcentral
CCUACGGGCGCUGCAGUGGGGAAUAUUGGACAAUGGGCGAAAGCCUGAUCCAGCCAUGCCGCGUGUGUGAAGAAGGCCUUCGGGUUGUAAAGCACUUUCAGUGGGGAAGAAAGCCUUGGGGCUAAUACCCUCGAGGAAGGACAUCACCCACAGAAGAAGCACCGGCUAACUCCGUGCCAGCAGCCGCGGUAAUACGGAGGGUGCGAGCGUUAAUCGGAAUUACUGGGCGUAAAGCGCGCGUAGGCGGUCUGAUAAGCCGGUUGUGAAAGCCCCGGGCUCAACCUGGGAACGGCAUCCGGAACUGUCAGGCUAGAGUGCAGGAGAGGAAGGUAGAAUUCCCGGUGUAGCGGUGAAAUGCGUAGAGAUCGGGAGGAAUACCAGUGGCGAAGGCGGCCUUCUGGACUGACACUGACGCUGAGGUGCGAAAGCGUGGGUAGCAAACAGGAUUAGAUACCCCAGUAGUC